RNAcentral lists this ribosomal RNA (254 nucleotides) under uncultured bacterium. RNAcentral describes it as "partial 16S ribosomal RNA". It matches the Rfam family "Bacterial small subunit ribosomal RNA", at positions 524 to 777 of the family's 1533-position model. The record is from RNAcentral.
UACGAAGGGGGCUAGCGUUGCUCGGAAUCACUGGGCGUAAAGCGCACGUAGGCGGAUCUUUAAGUCAGGGGUGAAAUCCUGGAGCUCAACUCCGGAACUGCCUCUGAUACUGGGGAUCUUGAGUCCGGAAGAGGUAAGUGGAACUGCGAGUGUAGAGGUGAAAUUCGUAGAUAUUCGCAAGAACACCAGUGGCGAAGGCGGCUUACUGGUCCGGUACUGACGCUGAGGUGCGAAAGCGUGGGGAGCAAACAGGG